This 253-nucleotide ribosomal RNA is filed under the name uncultured bacterium. RNAcentral describes it as "partial 16S ribosomal RNA". It matches the Rfam family "Bacterial small subunit ribosomal RNA", at positions 524 to 776 of the family's 1533-position model. The record is from RNAcentral.
UACGAAGGGUGCAAGCGUUAGUCGGAAUUACUGGGCGUAAAGCGUGCGUAGGUGGUUUCUUAAGUCCGUUGUGAAAGCCCUGGGCUCAACCUGGGAACUGCAGUGGAUACUGAGAGGCUAGAGUGUGUCAGAGGAUGGUGGAAUUCCCGGUGUAGCGGUGAAAUGCGUAGAGAUCGGGAGGAACAUCAGUGGCGAAGGCGGCCAUCUGGGCCGAUACUGACGCUGAGGAGCGAAAGCGUGGGGAGCGAACAGG